GGAACAGUAAAUUGAGAAGAAUUGUAUUAGGUGUUAAUCCAGAGGUCAACUCAAAACCAGUCAUAACAACACUUGAUCAAAUACGACAAUUUCAUCUAGGAUUGGUGGUUUUCUGUUUGGCCUUCUCUAUAAGAGGUCUCAGCUGCUUCUUUUCAGCUAGAAUUUUCAAAAAGUUGAACAGAAAUGGUAUAUAGUUGUGCUUCCGACGGAUAUUUUCAGUUUUCCAUUUCUUGAACUUCUCCUCCUCCCUCAAUAUCUUAUCACUAACAGCUUCAAUACCAGAAUUUACCUCUGCUAAGGAUUUAUUUAGUGAUUCCACUUGGCUGCUAUCCACCACUCUCUCCGACUGGGAUGCAGCCAGCUGCUGCAGAAUACGCUCCCUCCUCUUUUGAAGCUCCUUCAGCUCUGCAGUAUACACCUCUUUCCUGUUCUUUACUACAGCCAUCAGAUUGAAUCUUAUUUCACUUUGGGAAUACCUCUCAAUACGUUCCUGAAUAACUGGUUGCACCAUGCGCAACCACUCAAUAUCACCUUGUCCACCAGGGCAUGGUCCAAGACUGAUUGGUCCCUCCUUCAAUCCAUCAAGCUCAUACAACACACCGUCCACAGGUAUAUAGCUGAUAAAAUGAUACACAUCAUCAUCUUUGCCAGCAGCUUUCUGCUCCUCAGGCACAAAUGGCUCAGGUCUUGCAAAACUAUUAUGUGCUGUGCGAAUUGCUUCACUGUUAUUGAUAGCUAAACCUUUAAGCUCCGGUGGGAAAUUCUUUGUGAAUUCUUUUAGUGCAGAUAAUUCUGGGCCAAUAUCAACAUCUGGACUGUUCAGGAGGAUUGAAAGGAUUGCUUGGGUAGCACAAGCAUUGUUUAUCACCUGACUAGCAAAGAAUAGGUUUGGGUUUGGGUCCUUGAUCACAAGGCGAUCAUCUUUUUCACCAGGACGCCAUUUGAAAAGGAAUAUCAAACCGAACACAGGCCUAAGACUGUUGAGCUCAUCAAGAUCCAAAGAAUACAACUCCUCAACCUGCACACCUUUUACUUGCAUCUGCUGCAUAAGUUCGGUAAAAACCCCAGGAUCAGAUUCGAUAGUGCACCACGACAUGAUUGUUAAUUACCUGUUCAAAUAUCAAGUUUGUGCAAAAGGAAAGUUUUCACCUCAAAACCUCAUCAGCUGUGGCCUGUGGAUGUGUUGCUUCGAGGCGCGACUCGCGAACGAGAACUGAGCAGUGGCCAGUGAGAAGCGGCUUGCCUGAACUUAAGAGUCGAAUAGCUGAGAGAUGAGAGUUGAGGGACGAGCUGCGGCUUAACG
RNAcentral lists this unclassified non-coding RNA (1303 nucleotides) under Hevea brasiliensis (rubber tree). The record is from RNAcentral. Lineage: Eukaryota; Viridiplantae; Streptophyta; Magnoliopsida; Malpighiales; Euphorbiaceae.